RNAcentral lists this ribosomal RNA (1011 nucleotides) under Triticum aestivum (bread wheat). Its description in RNAcentral is "partial small subunit ribosomal RNA". The record is from RNAcentral. Lineage: Eukaryota; Viridiplantae; Streptophyta; Magnoliopsida; Poales; Poaceae.
AUGGAAUCGGAGCCGGCCGCGCUACCCGACGACGCCCUCGCGGAGGUCCUCCGGCGUCUCGCGCCGCACGUCCUGGCCGUGGCCCGGCGGGUCUGCACGGCGUGGCGCGACGCCGUCGACGACCGCCUGUGCGGCAGCCUGCUUCCGCGCUCGGUGCGCGGCAUCUUCAUCAACUUCCCGGGGGAUUACUUCUCGGAGUUCUUCUCCCGCACCUCGACCGGCCCGGCGAUCGACGGAGGGAUUGAUUUCCUGCCCUGCCUGUGCAUGGGCGUCAAGGUCAAGGACCACUGCGAAGGCCUUUGGCUUUGCCGCGAGUCCAGCGACCGCGCACUGCCGCGCCCACGCGAGUACGUCGUCAACCCGGCCACCCGUCGGUGGGCGAGUUUGCCCAAACGCCCCCGGCCGCACAUGCCAGGAUUCAACCACACUGCCCACCUCGCGUUCGAGCCCGCCGUGUCGCCGCACUACCAGGUCUUUCUGAUCCCACGCGUGCCAUGGCGACUGCCAGCCGACGGGGAAUCCGACGACGACGAUGACAACCCGUCGCUCGAGUCGGAGUGGCCUCCCGCGUCAUACCCCAUCCAUGUAUUCUCGUCGGUGACUCAGCGAUGGGACGAGACGACCUUCCUUCGGGAAGGGGAGGCUGCAGGGAUCGUCGCCAACAUGGUGUCGUAUCCGUGGUAUGAUGAGUGUCGUUAUUAUGGCGUCUACUGGCAAAGAACGCUCUACAUCCAAACCAAGAAUUGCUAUCUUACCAGAAUGUCCUUGUCGGAUCACACGUACAGAGUAAUUAAACUACCAGGUGCCAAUGAAUUGAUAGGAUAUCCCAACAACCACCAUCUCGGGAGAUCAUCGCGAGGGGUGUAUUGUGCAAUACUUGAUGUCUUGAAUCGACUUCAGGUUUGGUAUCUCAGUGAAUCUUGCGGUCGAAUAGAAUGGGUGUUAAAACAUCAUACCCGUCUUAAGACCUUUGAAUAUGUCGACUAUGCUCAACAACUGGGCAGACAAUGA